AGGGAAUUUUCCGCAAUGGGCGAAAGCCUGACGGAGCAACGCCGCGUGAGUGAGGACGGCCUUCGGGUUGUAAAACUCUGUUCUUGAGGAAGAAUUCCUUCCAGGCGAACGGCCUGGAAGGUUGACGGUACUCAAGGAGAAAGCCCCGGCUAACUACGUGCCAGCAGCCGCGGUAAUACGUAGGGGGCGAGCGUUAUCCGGAAUUAUUGGGCGUAAAGCGCGUGCAGGCGGCCGGUUAAGUCAGGUGUGAAAGGCUGCGGCUCAACCGCAGAGCGGCACCUGAAACUGGUCGGCUUGAGUGCAGGAGAGGGGAGCGGAAUUCCCGGUGUAGCGGUGGAAUGCGUAGAGAUCGGAAGGAACACCAGUGGCGAAGGCGGCUCUCUGGCCUGUAACUGACGCUGAGGCGCGAAAGCGUGGGGAGCAAAC
This 426-nucleotide ribosomal RNA is filed under the name uncultured bacterium. RNAcentral describes it as "bacterial SSU rRNA". It matches the Rfam family "Bacterial small subunit ribosomal RNA", at positions 356 to 773 of the family's 1533-position model. The record is from RNAcentral.